RNAcentral lists this ribosomal RNA (756 nucleotides) under uncultured bacterium. RNAcentral's name for it is "bacterial SSU rRNA". It matches the Rfam family "Bacterial small subunit ribosomal RNA", at positions 1 to 760 of the family's 1533-position model. The record is from RNAcentral.
GAUUAGAGUUUGAUCCUGGCUCAGAUUGAACGCUGGCGGCGUGCCUAACACAUGCAAGUCGAGCGGUAACAGGCGUAGCAAUACGUGCUGACGAGCGGCGAACGGGUGAGCAAUGCUUCGGAAUCUGCCCAAUGGUGGGGAAUAACCAGUCGAAAGAUUGGCUAAUACCGCAUACGCCCCUCGGGGGAAAGCGGGGGUCGCAAGACCUCGCGCCGAUGGAUGAGCCGAAGUCGGAUUAGCUAGUUGGUAGGGUAACGGCCUACCAAGGCGACGAUCCGUAGCUGGUCUGAGAGGACGACCAGCCACACUGGUACUGAGAUACGGACCAGACUCCUACGGGAGGCAGCAGUAGGGAAUAUUGGGCAAUGGGUGAGAGCCUGACCCAGCCAUGCCGCGUGCAGGAAGAAGGCGUUCUGCGUUGUAAACUGCUUUUGAUCGGGAAGAAAGCGUCUUUGCGAAGACAGUUGACGGUACCGAUAGAAUAAGCACCGGCUAACUCCGUGCCAGCAGCCGCGGUAAUACGGAGGGUGCAAGCGUUGUCCGGAUUCAUUGGGUUUAAAGGGUGCGUAGGCGGAUUGGUAAGUCAGUGGUGAAAGGCAGCGGCUCAACCGUUGAGUUGCCAUUGAUACUGUCAGUCUUGAGUGCACUAGAGGUAAGUGGAAUUUAUGGUGUAGCGGUGAAAUGCAUAGAUACCAUAAAGAACACCAAUAGCGAAGGCAGCUUACUAGAGUGUAACUGACGCUGAGGCACGAAAAG